CACGCUGGCCUUGCUAGUCCAGGGACAUCGGCCCCCCCCACCUCCAGUGGUCUCUCCCCUGUGUCAAUGACUCAGUUUUUGCCUAGAGUUCCCACAGCUCUAGGGAAGAGAGGACAGAUGAGGCCCUUUGUUCCUGCAAAUGGGCCUUUCCUGGCAGUGAUGGAGAUCGCCUGCAGUCCAGCCCGCUCCUCCUCUUCAGCUGCAGCCAUUAUCCUAAAGUGGUUUUAUUGAUCUGCUGACUCCCUGUCUCCUGCCUGCUCUCCCUUUCCUCCUCCCUUCCCCACCCCCUGCACCCCAUCCUCAAGCUCCUAAAUGCUCUGUUGCUGGCCUCAUCCAUGCAAGGCUGUUUUUUCAGGGGUGAAGGAUGAUUUUGAAGUUAGAUUAGACAACUGCACUUGCCUCAUGAGAAAGCAGAUAUUCCCUUAGGGCAAGCAUUUUCAGACUAGCAAAGGAUAUACCUCCAUUUACCAACCACACCUUUUCUGGAUGUAGUUCUUUGGUUGUUUUGACUUUUUGUAAGAUGUAGGAAAUAUAGAUGCUAUGAAAGUUCAGUUUCAAAGUUUGCACCUUGGCAAACUAUAGUACAUUUUACAAUGUCAUGAUAAUGCCGCAUUUUAAACAAUUACCAGUCAUAUUCAUCUUAAUACAAUUUACAUGUAAUUAAAGAAAUUUU
Molecule: long non-coding RNA, 673 nt
Filed under: Homo sapiens (human)
Lineage: Eukaryota; Metazoa; Chordata; Mammalia; Primates; Hominidae
Description: HSALNT0267150
Source: RNAcentral